UCCUCGAUGGUCUAACGGUCAUGAUUUCCGCUUGUCACUCGAUUGAGAACGAGCGCGGGAGACCUGGGUUCGACUCCCAGUCGGGGAG
RNAcentral lists this transfer RNA (88 nucleotides) under Aspergillus tanneri. It matches the Rfam family "tRNA". Rfam says of the family: Transfer RNA (tRNA) molecules are approximately 80 nucleotides in length. Their secondary structure includes four short double-helical elements and three loops (D, anti-codon, and T loops). Lineage: Eukaryota; Fungi; Ascomycota; Eurotiomycetes; Eurotiales; Aspergillaceae. The record is from Rfam by way of RNAcentral.